Molecule: non-coding RNA, 4724 nt
Organism: Microcebus murinus (gray mouse lemur)
Lineage: Eukaryota; Metazoa; Chordata; Mammalia; Primates; Cheirogaleidae
Source: RefSeq, a predicted model, not a curated record
AGCUGUGCUUCCAGAUGCCCUUGGGUCCUUUUGGGUUAAACUCUGGGCUUCCAAGUGCAGGCACCACAGGGUGUGUUUUCCAGCUCUUCUUCCCCUGCCACUUCCUCAGCAAAAUCUGGGACUGGGUGUGGUACAGGCGGGGAGAACUAUUGGGCUGCGUGAUUUGCUUGGGGCUCCCCCAGAUGCCAGCUCGCACGGUCGCCUCAGGCUCAAGCGGGAGCUCCUCAAGGUCCCCCCAACUCCAGCAGGAGCCCCUCCAUCUCCUCAUACCGGUCCUCGCCCCUCCCCCAGGUAUGGAAGCAGGUCCUUCACGGAAGAGGCUCCUUCUCUCUGGAAUUCAGCUCGUGGAGGGCCCCCUGGCACCCCUCUGCUGUUAACUAGCCUGGUAGACAAACACGUUGCUUUGCUUUGUCCAAGUUUCUCUUGCGUUUCAUAGAGAACCAAGGUCUUUCCCGCGAGCCUACAUUCUAACCGGAAGCGGAAGUAGCCUCUGCUCGUUCGCGGGCCCUUUGCUCUUUUUCCUCCUUUAGGAAGGUGGACGGUGAGGAGCUUGGAUGGUUCUACACUACGGGGCCAGGAUGAGCGCAGGUCUCUGGUUUACCCAAAGCCGGUGUCUGGGAUGCGCGACGGUCUCGCUCCUGCUUGGAGCGGCCGCCACGUCCGUCUUCAUCCAAAGGGCGACCCUGGGGAGUGGCCGGAGCGCGAGGAGCGGCGCAGGUAACCCGGCAACCCACUCCAAGUAUGGGAAAGAGAGAAAAGAGGCAGCAGGCAAGAUAAAAAUGCUGACAGGGCCAAGGUAUGCUUUGAACACCGACUCCAUGCCUGGCCUUGUAUGAAGACAGCUGGCAGCUGGUACCUGCUCAGUCAUCAGCAGAGCAAGGUAGGUUGUGAAAGCUUCCAGAAUCAGGCAGACAUAGCCUCAAAUUCUGGAAUUUCACUGAUAGCCCACAAAAAUGUGGUAUGUUUCUUGCCUCCAUUUCCCUCUUUUUUGAAAAGAGCUAAUGAGGUUUAUCUUGCAAGUCUGUUUUGAAGCCCAAAGGUGAUGUGAUAUCUAAAACAACCAGCUUCCAGUCGAAACUCCAUAUACAAUUGUUCCCAGCACUAGCCCACACCCCACAUCCCUGCCCAGCCCCCCACAUCUCUAAGUGGUUUUUUCCACCUCCUUUUUCAUUUGAAAAGCUUCUAUUCGUUCUGCAUUGGUGACAUUCAGAGCUCCUCCAAGGGCAGUGCCCAGACUGCCAGCAUCAGAGUCUCCUGGGGAGACUGUCUAGAUGCAAGUUCCUGGGACCUGAUGUAGUUCACAGAAUCGAACCUCUGGGAGCAAAGUUCAACAGAUGGCAUUGCAGACAUAGUCCUGAGGCAAAGAAGCCUGUACUUGGCACUUCCAGUCUCUGAGAAGCCCCUUGGCAGCAAUAACUAGUGCCUGACAUCUAGACUUGCCUUGUACAGAACCAGAAUGGAGACAGGGUCCAGAAACACACAUGUGCCUAGCAAGGAGGCCAAAGGGGAGGGAAGAGAGGUGUGAAUGACGUGGGCAUGAAGGAGUGGGAGUGAGAUGGGGUGAAGGAGAUGCCAGCUGGAAGUCCUGGCAGGGUAGAAGCAAGGAGGGGCCACCUGAGCCCAAGGGUGGAAAUCUGUCCCACCCUGGAGGUGGCAGCAGGCUCCAGGUGCUGGCUCCUCGGGGAGUCACAGGGAGAUUCAAGACCUGUACCGGCCCCUGCAGGUGGCCUUCUGACAAUGAGAUUCUCCAGGUAAGUACUAGUUUCAAAUAUUUUGUCCCCUUAUUAGAUUGUGUGCCCUGUAGCAUUAGUAGCUACUACCAUUGAUGGAGAGCUUCCUGGCAGGGGCUCUGUGGCUUAAUGCUUAGAAGAGAAGAGUGCUGGGUUCAAACUCACACCUAAAUCCUUACUCUAUACCUGGUAAGGAGGGUGGCAUUGGGAAAGUCAUGUGACUUUUCGGAGCUUCCAUUUGCCGAUCUGUGCAGUGGGGAUAACAGCUUGCACCUCUCAGGAUGGUGAUGAGGAAUCAGUGAAACAGAUGAUGUGUCCAAGCCCAGCAUGAAGGCAGCCCACCCACUGUUCCAGAACAGGAGCCCAGGCAGCAGCCUGCCCUCACCCGAGGGGAAGUCUACCAUCCCUGGUGACUCAGGCAGCUCUGGCAGCCGCACAGUCCUGAAGCCACCCAUGAUGAUGAUUUUUUUGUCUGUGAGUUGCCCUUUGAUUGACAGGCCUGUACUCAACACAGAAGGUUUGCAUUUUUCAUGGGAUGGGAGGGAGACAAAGGAAGGGGGCAGAUGGUCUAGAGCCAGCGUCUACUGUCUGCCCAAGCAGAGUAGACAACCCGAGUUGGAAGUGUGAGUGGCCAGUGAAGGUCAAGGGGAAUUUGUGUAAGACCCAGCUCCUUGGCAUUUUGCUUGGAAUGAGCCAAAGCUUCAGUCAGUUCAAGUUAUUGCAAGGGUUGUGAGGACGGGACCCCAGCAGGCCAGGCAGGGCUACGUGAGGAGGCCGCAGCUCACGCGGGGCCUUGGGUUGCAGAUUUCAGAAAGGGGCCAGCCUGAGGGCUGUGGGCGCUUCUCUAAGUUCCUUCCAUGGCUCUGUGGGCAGCGUUCCUGGUUGUCCCUGUCGCUGACCUCACUCCCCUUUUGGCCCUUUUCCCGGAUCAUCAUCUUUGAUACCAGCAGCAGCACACGGCAGCACAAGCCCCCAGCCUGACAGGCUUUGCUGGCGGGAACCUAAAACUAACAACCUUCAGCUUUCAGUGGGUCUUGUGGGGACUUGCUGUGGCCUCCCAGUGGCAGGGAGAUGUGUAUUCUGCUGGCAGCUUAUGCAAAGCCCCUGAGAGGAAACUAACCAGCCCCCAAAGGCAACACGAGCACUGGCCACUCGUCCCUCUCCUGGAUGCUUCUGCUUUGGGUGAUUAGGACAAGGGAAGUCUUGGAAUUUGAAAGCAAGUCACAGCCCCAGUGUUGUAGGGUGAACCUCCAUGGUGAGAAUGUGUCUCUAUGAUUCUUUUUAGAUGAGAUCGAGCACAUUCAGGGUGGUAUGGCCAUAGACUAUGAUUCUUUUUAGAAUUGCAGUAGCUUCAAGCACAUGUUCUGACUGCUCCAGUCUCACUCCACCCAGCCCGAUCCCCCCAGGUAAUGGCACUACCCAGUUAAUGAAUGGAAACGAAAUGUGCUGUGGCUUCCAGCAGCACCCCCUCCACCAUCCACAGCCCCUCCAAGUUGGAGCUACGGGCUGGAAGAUGCUCCCGUCUCCUCUCUGGCGGGCCAAGGCCCCUCCCCAGUUCAGAGGCACAGAUGACUCAUGGCAGCGGCCUCUGAGCUUGUCUCCUGGCCUCCAGGCUCUCCCCACUCUGCUGCCAGGUUCAACUUUGCAGAACAAAACUCUGUCCCUGCAUCUCCUGUCCCCAGAACGUCAAUGCCCAGGCCUUUCUCUGAAGCCUUUUGUCCUCUGCGCCCUCUAGCGAUCUGUCAGGGAUACAGCAGAGCCCAGGCACACCAGGCCCUGCCUUCAGGAGCUGCUUCUGUUCUAGAGAACAAAGGAGCCAAUAAAUAUGAAAUGACAAAUGGUAAUGAGCGCCAUGGAAGAAGCAGCCCUUGGCGAUGGAAAAAUCUGGGGCAGGAAGGCUUUUCAGAGGAGGUGGCACUGAGCAGUGACCCAAAGGGUGGGAAGGCCACCACCCAGCCUUCUCCCUGGACCCCUCCUCCGCCUCCUGUGUCUGCAGCGCACCUUCUGUCACUCCAAAUCGUGCCUGUGGUGGCAGCAAAUUGGCCAAGACCUGGAUGAGAAACCCCUGCUGCCUUAACCAGCCGUGUCCCCUCCACAGUCUGGGGCCCCAGAGGGAGUUGUGCCAGGGGCUGGGCAGGCUUUCUGAGUUGGGGCUCCCAUGGGCUUCACCCUAAGACCCUUGUGUGGCCCCUGAGAAUCAAGGCUUCCUUUCCUCUCCCUGGUGCUGAAUCUGCCCUUGUUCCUCCUUGACCUUCAGGGUCAAGUCAAGGCAGCCAGGGUCCUCUCCCACAAAAGUCACAGGAAAGAGGAAAAGAGCAGCUCCCCCAAAGUGGGAAUACAGAGAGGCAGCAUGUGGGGGUCAGUGGUUCCAAUCACGAAAGUGAUCACAGCAAACACUUGGCUCCCAGCACGGCCUCCCAGGGGUCCCUGAACCAUCUCAGCCACAUACCGUUUCCUGGAGUGGAACUGGAUUGCUGCUCAAGCCACCAUGCGUCCAAUGUGAGUCUCAUCUCUGGCAAGUAGUUCCUGAACUUUCUGUGGACAGCUGGGCCCCCAACCAUGUGGGUCAGAUAAAAAGUUGCCUCUGAGCUUCCCCAGUGCCCGGUGCUCUGCACUGCAGCUGGGCGAGCCUCAGGGUUCCCCUCCUGGGGAAGCCCACGGCCAGGCUCUUUCUCCUCCACGCUGAAGGCACACACCUCCUCCCCUGCCUGGGUGCUUCAAGACCCACGUGCCACAUUUGCAGCCUCGCUCUCCUGCAGGCCCAGCUGGCAUCUUCUCUGGUCUAUUUCAUGUCUCUUACCUUCCUGAGUCCCCACGCCAGUCUGUAAAGACAGACACUUGUUGUGAUUCGAGAGAUGGCCCAUCUCGGGCACUCUGCUUCCAUAACUUGAAUGGUGGCUUUCAGCUAAUUGCAUGGGGGUUUUAUUGUUGUUGUUUAUUUGUUUGUUUUUUUAGAGAUAGGGGUCUCCCUAUGUUGCCAAGGCUGUUCCUGAA